GCGGCGCGGCGCGGCCCUGGAGGCGGGUCCCGGACGCUGGGUCAGCGGGUUGUUGAGACCUUCCGAGGCUCCUUAGCCCUCCAGUAUUUGCCCUUCGGGCGGCACGGCAGCGGCAGGUUAGCAUCCCUGAGGCGACCUCUUCCCGUUGCCUGCCUAGGAGCCGUCCGCUCUGCUAGCCUUGCCGGCCGUGUUGGGCACGCCCUCCCCGAGACCCCGGCGCGCGGCGUCGCUCUGCUCCGAACCCACCUGCGGGGCAGAAAGGGCCCAGGAGCUUUCGUGGUGGUGUGUGGGCGUGUACCGUGGUGUGCGGUACUGGAGGAGGAGUGCUGCGUCCCAGCCUUCGCUCUCUCCUCUGUAAAGUAGGGAUACGAAAUAGCACGUGUGUUAAGAACUCAGCGCAUAGGUUGUGCGCAAUAAACGCCUGAUAGACUGAGUGAAGACACACACAGCCCAGCCCUGCCUUGUUGGAGGCUGAUCUAGGGGCCUUUAAUUCUGUGGAGGUAAUGUGGGAUUAUUUUACUCCGCACUAUUCUCAAACAUCUCUGAAGAGAGGCCAGCAUAAAAUUAGGAGUUGGAGCACCCUCAGCUCACACACAUCCGCUCCUAGAGCUCUUCUUGUCAGGUAGUUUGUCACUUUGGUGGCCCCACAGAAACUUGCCUCCUGACAGUAAUCGAUCCUGGAAUCUGGACUGGACCUGUGACUCGAUUUAACCAAUGGAAGAAUGUGGCAGAAGUGACUACCAAUUACAGAGAUGAGCUUUGAGAAUACCUGGUGACCUUGAUUUUGAGCUCUUGAUGACCCUGAGCUGCUCCCCUUCUUCCACCUUGCUGUAGAAAGAGAACACACACAGACCACAUGGAGGAAAAGGACCCAGUUACUACCAAGAACUGAGGUUCCAGACACAUGAACCUGAUGAACCCAUCCCAGCUAAAGGACAGUCGUUGAGGGAAGAAGCCAUCUAGGUUGCUCUAGCCAUCUGAGCUCUUCCUCAUUACCUAAAACAGAGGAAAUCCAAGUAAGGACAAUUUCCAAGGAUCUUCUCUUCAGAAAUGUGAAGAGCAGUGCUGGGAACUUAUGUAUUUAAUAAGCAUUCCAGGUGAGUCUUAUGAUCAGACAAGUAUGGCUGACAUUACCAUUAAGCAUCCUCAAUCUUCAGAUCUCACAUCAACAGAAAAUGAGCUGCUCGCAUUGUACAGAAUUCAGAAGAGGAAUCCAUGCCGGGAACCCUUUAGAUAUAGCCAUGGAGGACAAUGAACAAGAGCGAUGAGCGCAGAGAAUAGCCUGGAGGCAGUGAGAUGGACUGAACAAGGAUGUUGUCUGCUGCCAAACCAAAGAGCCUUUGCUGCUCCUGUCUUGCAGGAGGAAGUAUGCAUUAUGAACUGACAGUGGGGAGCCACAGCUGGCCCUAAAUUCGAAGAAUGCAGCAAGCUCACAACUGAAGGAACCCCUCUUGCCCUGACCACACACACCUUGCAGCAGACAGGACAUGACUUGAGCUAUUUCUGUUUGGAAAGGGGGUGUUUUCAUUUCUGUACCCCCAGAAGCAUAUCAUGAGACUGUAAGUAUCUUAUAUGGAAUUUAAAAAAUUACUGGUAGAGGAGUGGGAAAGUGAGACAAAGAAAGUAAGGCAACCAAUAUAGGAUUCAUUAUCAAGCCAGCUACUGUUGUGUACAAUGGGGGCUUAAUCCCAUGGGAAACUCUGAGAGCCAGUGUAGAACAUGCACUGCAGUGUUAAUCCACUGCAAGGAGUUAGGGAGCUGGGGUGUCCAUAUAUCAAGUCCCAUGAGUCGUUGGUUGAGAGGAGCUCCCAGGGAGGAUGAAAUAUUAAUUCCUCUACACUUUGGGCCUGCUGUGUAAGUGACAAAGACAGAGUAGGAAAUAAUCAGAGAAAGGCAUCAUACAAAGGAGCGCACGUGCUGGCAGCUGGAAGCCAGGCCAGUAUACGUGAAAGUGGUAAGGACAAGGGGAUAUAGGCAAAGCAUCUGCUUUAAGAACUCAGAGGGGGUCUCAUCAUUUAUGAGCUAGCUUCAGUACCUUAAAUGGGGACAUUCAUUUAAAGUGUAGGCACAUGUGUGUGAAUGCUGGGCAGUUAAAGAAAAUGCAAACUAUCUGAUUCUGCUUUUCAGAAUCACUUUCUCCCAUUCCAUAGGAUUCUGGGGGGACUGUCCCUCCAAAGGCCUCCCCGUCACAGAGUGUACAAAUGACCCAAGCGGACCAAUCAUUGUAGUCAUUAUAGCAGAUACUAUUGGUGCCCCAGUCAGAUCCCCUUUACUGGCCAGUGCACCCAUCCUGCAGUUCAGGUGAGUGUUGCCAUUAGAGGCUCACAGCCACAAACUUCUUCAGAGAAUUUCCCUCAGGAGGAGGGGGCCAAUUUGGCUGGGAUAUUGUCCCCUCCCACCAGGGGGCAUUCCACAUCUAAAAGGAGGUACAAAGACAGCUCAUCUAUCUCAUGGGAAGGUGAGGGAGACAAUUCUGCAGGCAAUUUAUACAUCAGAACUCCCCCAAGAGAUCAGCUGGAUCCUCACCUUUGUUAGUUUUUUCCCUGAUCCUAUCCUGCUUCCCAUGCUCCCUUAUAGGAUUUUCCUGAGAGCAUUCCUCCGUUGCUCAGGUUUAAGUCUCAGGCUCUGCGUCCUGGAUGCCCAGCUAGGACACAAUGAUGAAUUGGCCCAAAGAAGACAUAUGGCCCCAGCAUAGCUAGAGCCUUUGGGAUCAUCUCAGAAAGCAGAUCUGUCUUUCUCUAAGAUUAUGAGCUAUAUAUAAGAACAAUGUAGUAGAUACAUGUUCACUCCCUGAAAUGUACUUCACUCUACUUCUGAUAAUAUUACAUUGGGGAUCCCUGGGUAGCUCAGCGGUUUAGUGCCUGCCUUUGGCCUAGGGCGUGAUCCUGGAGUCCCUGGAUUGAGUCCCACAUCAGGCUCCCUGUGUGGAGCC
This is a long non-coding RNA of Canis lupus familiaris (dog), 2932 nucleotides long. RefSeq lists it as uncharacterized. The record is from RefSeq and is a predicted model, not a curated record. The transcript has 3 exons. Lineage: Eukaryota; Metazoa; Chordata; Mammalia; Carnivora; Canidae.